Molecule: long non-coding RNA, 4775 nt
Organism: Brienomyrus brachyistius
Lineage: Eukaryota; Metazoa; Chordata; Actinopteri; Osteoglossiformes; Mormyridae
Exons: 2
Source: RefSeq, a predicted model, not a curated record
AUGAUGUGCAGAGUAUAAUUAAUGGGCUAUGUUGAAGAAAAAGUCGAAAACCUUCAUUCUCCAGCUGGAGGUGUAAUUUAAUUAUGACACGAAAAGAUCUGCUAGAGUGAAGGUAACCUAUUUAGCUUGAAUUGUAGUGAACAGACCAUUAAUUGCUGUUCAUUAACGGAGGUUGUGAAGCAGCUGAUUAGAUGCCGUGGGGUUUCCUGAAGACCUGUCAUGCGAGGGGCAAAGGGCAGAGCCUCCCACCCCUACCCCUGUCUGGAUUGGCACCAGAUUGCACGUACUGAGUCCGUUCUCGGGCUGCCCGCAAAGACACGUUGCAUCCUGCCGCAGUGACAGGUGGUGGAUCAGUCAACCCGCGUGCCUGACAGGAAGGUCCUGGGGUUUGGAGAUGUUGGACCAGACGCAUGUCACCUUGCAGGGGACCUUACGCUCUCCCCUGCAAGCCUUCUAACAACAGCCUGUCUCCAAUGAUGGAAUGAGUGCAGCCUGUCUAUGUCGUACACAACGGCAAGAUCUAUUCCCCUGUAGGCCAGUCUGCAUUAGCAUUAGGAUAUCCAAAGAGCUAGAAUCAACUUUAUUCGCCAUGUGCAGCCCGAGAAUUUGUUUUGGUGUAGUUGGUCACAUUGUAGUAAAAUUAAUUAAACAAAAUGUACCUGUAAUAUAAGAGAGUAUUAACGUGAACCAAUAACUAGCCGACAACGCAGCGUAUGCACAAGAAAGUAAAACAAGAUAUUUGGAUUAGGUAGGGCGACUGUAUUUGGUUUUGCAACGGGGCCAAAGAGAGGCAUGAAAGCUAUGCAUAUAUGCACACAGUCUAUCUGAAUGUAGAAAGCAGAUGUCAAAAUGAAAAUCAACAUUUCCUGUAUUUUUAGUCCCAAAAAAGAGGACACAUGUGGGAAAAUGAGGACAUAUGGUCACCUUAGGAUAAGGUGCAAUGAGAGCCAGUGCAACGACAUCCUUAUACAACACAGAUGUGCAAAAUUAAUUAACAGACAGGCAAGGAAUGAGAAUGAAAUCCCUGCACCUCUGCAGUGGACAAAAUAAUGACUGCACCUUCAAAUGCUCACACCUGUUCCACCAUGCUGCACUAGGGCCCACCGUUGUCAUGACAAUCAGCCAACAGGUAAACGACUGAUACUUGCUUUUUGUGAUUCUCCUUUACUGGAACUCAUCACACCUACAGUACAGCAUGUAACUGGAAUCAGACCUUCAGCGACGCAUUGGGCCGCGUCAUAGCAGGGUUUACAGUAGUGAAUUUGCGGUGAAAGGCAUGUUUGAGCUAUUGAUAAAUUACUCCGUUUUCUUUACUGUUCAAACCUGACUGUUACACAACUCUGUGAAAUUACUGUUUCCCCCAGGAGUGUAUUAACCUGUUAAUUAAUGAUAAUUAAUCUUGGCACUUUAUUGUCAUUAUGAUUUCCUCGCUUAGCGAUGCUUUUAUUCAAUAAAGCACUAAUUAAGAAAUUGAAAAUGAAAAAGGUUCCGGUUCCAAGCCUAGAGUUAUGGUUCCUGUUAUGAUACUGAGUAUAGUGCUUAUUUGGAAAAAUACGGUGGUAUAAAUGUGUAUAAAACUGCAAUAUUCAUUUUAAUGAAAGCUUUGGCUAAGAAAUUAAUUAAAACGGCAUCCUGUUUGAGAUGGCAUACUCUCUACACCUAUUUCUAUAGAUGAAACAGAUCAAAUUAAAUCAUUAGUCGAUGCUAAAGCAGUUGUAGGCAAACUUUAGCUUAGCUUUGGUUUUACCUGCUGCGCUACAUUAUGCAUGGCUUUUUGUCUCAUCGAUAGAGAUUAAGGUCGGUUUGAACUUCCAAAAAAAUUCCAUUCUCUAUAAACUGUAUAUUUACCCCCGCUAACUGAAUUAAUUUGGAAUUCAUAUUCCAAGCUUUUUCGACAGAUUACACCAUCCCAGGGUUAUAAAAUCCUGUUCACUAAUUUUUAGACUUCCACAAUUUACAAUAUUGAAACGAUUCCCGUUAUUCUAUAAGAUGUAUAGUUUGCAUGUCCUCCCCAUGUGAUGUGGAAUUCCUCCAGGCCCAAAGAUGUGCUAAAGCUGCCCACAUGGUUGUGUGUCAAGCAGGAUAAGCUGUUAGACACUACAUGGAUGGAUGGAUUUUUCUGAUACCUGAUUUGAAAAAAAAUGAAAGCAAAGUAGUUAAAUCCUCUUGGAGUUUUAUAAAAGCAUACAUAGUGGCUCUUUGCUUAACAUUUCAAACACAGCCGGUUUUAAUUCCCUGCCAGAAACACAUGGACCUCACUCAGAUUCUGAAAUCUAACCUCCAAAAGGUCCUCUGUGGGUGUAAUUUCUGCCAGACCGAGCUUGUUCCAGGACUGCAAAUUUCCACCAACGGGGACAUUAGAAAAAAUGGGAAGACGAGGCUGUUCCAUCCUGGGCCGGAGUCCUGAGUGUCCUGAGGUCACGUUUGAUGACGUACCUGGUAAGAAGGCCAGCAGUGCAGUUCACCGUAAGGUCAAAAAGCGGGGACUUAUGAAGAGGAAGGACGGGUAGGCCUGUGAUACCCGGCACAAGGUUAUACCACAGCCUUAAGGAACCUUCUUAUCCAACGUUCAAUUAAAAGAAAUCAGAAGUGGUCACGGGAAACGCCAGGGGUGGCACUAAGGCUAAAAUAUUCUUUAGUUCCCCCCAAGAUCUCUAAUUAUGCUCUAAUUAGUCUAAAUAUUAUGGGCCAUUUCCAUCAACUACCCCCCCAGUAAAGAUUUAGCCCCCCUUUUCAUAAGUCUCCAUUGAUGCUCCUGGGAAACGCUAAUAUAUGUGAAGUAUCUCAACAAAAGUAUUGGAACGUUCCUGCUCUUUAGCACCCGGAGAAUUUUAAUAGAAGCAUAGAUGGUUUCAGAGGCCUGCUAUUGUUCGAUGUCCUUGCCUUUUGUGGCUGAUAUAUUUCCAUAACAAAACGCAACAUUUUCCCACAUCUGUACCAGAAGUUGGCCAUUGCCGCUAUCAUCGUCAGUUUGGGAAGGUUUUAUAUGAUCUGUCUUGCAGUUUCCACAUCCCUUCCAUUCCUUAGCUACUCUUGGUGGUAGCAUCAUAUAACUGGUGUUUUUAUAAAUCCUGGAGGAUUUCCUUCAGGACCUCCUGGGAUCCCCCCCCCCCCAAACUGCACUGCACUGUACUGCCUUGAGAGAUUAGGGAAUGUCACCUGUCUGACCAAUUAUGGUGUCAAGGGUCCCGGUACAGAGCGGUCAUUAGACCUUUGUACUGUCUUAGCGACGCGCCAGUAAAAUAUGCCAACCGGGGGCGAAAUCUGCACUCACGGUAGGUGUGAGGCUUUAAAUCACUGACGUCAACAUCCCUCUCUGAGCGGAGCCAAAGAGCCGAAAGGCUUGCCCAAAUCAUGCACACCCUGCCAGCCUGCCAGUGUUGCAUCCUGCCCCGGUGAGGACCCCACUGGGACCACUGCUUCCUCUUCCUCGCCAGGUAACUCUCCCACGCUGAGUGUACGGGGGUGGAACUGAGGUCAACAUGGAGUCAAGGAGGCUCAUCUGCAAGCUUGGCUCGUCACCAGUCUGGCUUGUAUGUGGUCAGACUCCUCUCUCAUUCUAAAUAUUCUGAUUGCGCCUCCGCAUGUUUGGGCCUUUAAACCCUGUGUCUGAACUAAAUGUGUGUAUACAUGAGCAUCUCUCCUGUGUGUAUCUGCGUAAAUGCGUCUGUGUGUGAGAGGUGUGUUUACAUGUUUUUGUCCAUUAACAUUUUUGUGUCGCACAGGUGGUUCUCUGUGCCCCCCGUCGUGUGUCAGCGAAAAGGACGACGUGCAAGGCGAUGGAAACGACAGCGUCUGCUGUCAAUUUUCCAGCUUAAACAAGAGGCUCGUUGGUCACCAGGUCUUACAUGUGUGUGUCUGUGCGUGUCUGUGCAUGUGUGUCUGUUCGUGUGCAUAUAUGACCUGUGCUGGCAAAAUGAGUCCGAAUGAGGAAAUUUUCAAAAUGGAGUUAUUAUUAUUGUUAGAUUCUCCUUUUUAAAACCUUCAAAAUGAUGUAUGGUUUGUUGGAAUCGGACAAAAAAUGACCGAGUUACAUCCGUUAGUUGUUUACAUCAACAGGGCUUUAUACAAUCAAGUUCUAUUGGUUCAGAGUGAUGUCAUUGGAAAUUCUAUGCAGAUUUUUAGAACGUAGGCGAGCCUCGCUUCACGGUGAUACCAAACAACCGGUGGGGGGAUUCCCAGUCAUGCCGUGAGUGAGAGGAGAAAAACACGUAUUUUCUAAGAAAAUUUAAGAUAAAGGACUAAUUUCUGAAGACAAAGCCUGUACAAAACAUUCAAAUUAUGAUGGUUCAUGGUAUUUAUUUGUUAUUUUGAUUAUUGGGAUCGAUAAAUGAUGACUUAAUGGACUAAUUUUUGGGAAAAUCUCAAUUUCGACGAAAAUUAACUUUGACAUUUUUGACUCUAGCUCAUAAUUAGCCUUCCGACUCAUUUUACCAGCACGGGUCACAUGUGUGUGUGCAUGCAUAAGCAACUCUUGGCUUUUCCCCCAUGGAGUGCCAGGUGAGGGAGCCCAACAAAUUAUUCAUCCAGAUAAAUAACUCUGAGACUCAUAUUAAAAUUAAGACGCUGUGAAUUAUAAUUUUGCCAUCUUGCCCAUUUGCCCUCUGCCGCCCUCUAGAGUCUGGUUCCUCUCAUGGUUUCUUCCUUCUAGGGAGUUUUUCUGUCGCCUCUGGCUUACUCACUGGGAGCUUUGGGCAGGGAUAAUGUAAAGAACUUUGAGACAAUGCAAUGUUAUGAAAAUGCGCUAUACAAAUAAAAUUUGAAUUGAAAAUAAA